RNAcentral lists this long non-coding RNA (507 nucleotides) under Suricata suricatta (meerkat). Its description in RNAcentral is "lncRNA (ENSSSUG00005006524.1)". Lineage: Eukaryota; Metazoa; Chordata; Mammalia; Carnivora; Herpestidae. The record is from RNAcentral.
GUUGGUUUCAACACAUCAAUUUUGAGAGGACACCAACAUUCAGUCCAUAACAGAUGCCUAAUAAGAACCAGAUAUAUUACACCUGGAUCAGCAAAGCUCUGAUCUAUAACCUACUAAAGUCUUGUGGUCUGCGCAGUCGCCUUGAUGCCUAGCUCGCCUGCCUGGAGGAGGAAAGGUCCCUAAGUAUGCGGCUGCCUUCUUGCCCCAGAAUCCUCCAUCCAGUCUGGAGCCACAAUUUGCCAGGCGGGAGUUGCUGGCCGUUUGGUCACAAGCUUCACACUCUCUUUGGUUUCUGAUCACCUGGGGGCAAAGUCACUUUCACCUCAGUACCCCUCUCCAUGUAUGGUGUGUGGUUCCUAAAAUACAUGAAGUAGCUGCUGAAUGAAUGCAAGCAUAGAUGCAUGAACAAAUGAACCAGUGAAGGAUGUGGUUAAUGACUACCCCUCUCAUUCUCUCUGUAAUAACAACGCAUCUGUUUUGGAAAGAAGUAAAAAUGCCACAAAUAUA